GGAGGGAUCAUUAACACGUUUUCACAAACGUAUCCUACCCCUAACCCCGUGAACCAAACCCAACUCCCUUCAUAGUUCUAGGACGAGUGAUAAUCAUCAGGGUGGAUUCCUUCUACACCAAACAGCCCGAGUAUGGACCGCAAUGACCUUCGGGUCUGCGUGGUGCCCAGCGGAGGUUGGGAAGGUCUAUGACUCGCUCUAGGGGCCCUUCGAGGCUCCAAUCCGCUAUGAAGUGUCUUUGCGACCACCUGGUAGUCUGCGCUGCUGUCUUUCAGACUGGGCUCUUUCGGGAGCUCGGACCCUGCCAGCAGUAGUGUAGCGUUCUGCCGAACCCCUUUUUUAACCCAACACAUUUUUAACCCCUUUAACAACAUACUAACAACUGAACCUAUUUCUCGAAUCGAUUCGAACCUUUUAGGGGAGAUGUCGAAGCUCGGAAAUUGAUAUACGUAAUGCUGAACAACUCUUAGCAAUGGAUAUCUUGGUUCUCGUAACGAUGAAGAACGCAGCGAAAUGCGAUACGUAAUGCGAAUUGCAGAAUUCAGUGAAUCAUCAAAUCUUUGAACGCAAAUGGCGCUCUCGGGAUAUGCCCGGGAGCAUGCCUCUCUGAGUAUCGGUUCUAUCAAUCGACGUCAGCGUGCUUACUCGCAAGGGUAACGACAUCGACAGACGGCGGAAAAUGAGCGUCUGGCUGCGCAAGCAUAGCUAGUCACUUUAAAUAGAUAGAAGCUUGGAUCGCACUGGAAAGUUCUCAAGCGUUCGCGCUUGGGAUUAGCAUGACUCCGAUAUGGGCUCUGCACUUUACUGGUGACGUGGAUAGAAGUACCACUUGCUGGUCUUUCAAAACGUCUGCUGGUGCUGUGCAUGUGGCUUGUGAGUGUGUGUGAACGUCUGGACCGUGAUUCCAUGUCUUGUCAAUCGAAUUCAUAGCAUGUUUCGGCAUGUUAUUCUUGAAUUAGAUCUCAGAUGAAGCAAGAGGACCCCCUGAAUUUAAGCAUAUUAUUAAGGGGAGGAAAAGGAACUAACAAGGAUUCCCCCAGUAACGGCGAGUGAAGCGGGAAAUAGCUCAAUCUGGGAAUCGAGAGUGGAAGCCCACGCCUCGAAUUGUAGCCUAGAGACGUGUUGUCAGCGUGUGACCUCGGUACAAGUCCUUUGAAACAGGGCAUCAUAGAGGGUGAGAAUCCCGUCCGUGACUGAGAGUUAGCCGCGUACGACGCAUGUUCGACGAGUCGAGUUGUUUGGGAUUGCAGCUCUAAAUGGGUGGUAAAUUUCAUCUAAAGCUAAAUAUCGACGAGAGACCGAUAGCGAACAAGUACCGUGAGGGAAAGAUGAAAAGAACUUUGAAAAGAGAGUUAAAAAGUACUUGAAAUUGUUAAGAGGGAAGCGCUAGCAAGCAGUCAUGACAUGCAGCUAUACUUAGUAGUGGACACCGAAAUCGACUGCGGACCAGAUCGCAAGACUGUGUCGGGAAGAGGACGAGUGGCUGCUGCGUCAUAUAGUUGUGUGUGGGUCAGAGUCAAUUCGGAUGCGCAGCUGAAGGCUGGUGGAAAGGUAGGGUCUCCGGACCUGUUAUAGUCCGCUAGCUGUACUGUGCUCUGGAUUGAGGAUUGAUAAUGGACGCCGUAAGGUUUCGGCGCGGCUCUUCUGUUGGGCGACAUGGCUCCGAGGACAAUGUCCUGUGGGUUGUGUUUGUUCGAUCCUGGGGGUCGCUGCCAGAUGUCCAUUCGCGAUUCUGACGAAAUGCUUGCUAUCGACCCGUCUUGAAACACGGACCAAGGAGUCUAACAUAUAUGCGAGUAUUUGGGUGCCAAACUCGGAUGCGUAAUGAAAGUAAAGGUAGCUUCGGCUGCUGAGGUAGGAAGGGUGUAACAACCUGGCACUAUCGACCGAUCGUCACUUGUGAUUGAUUUGAGUGCGAGCAUAUCUGUUGGGACCCGAAAGAUGGUGAUCUAUGCCUGAACAGGGUGAAGCCAGGGGAAACUCUGGUGGAGGCUCGUAGCGAUACUGACGUGCAAAUCGUUCGUCUGAUUUGGGUAUAGGGGCGAAAGACUAAUCGAACCAUCUAGUAGCUGGUUCCCUC
This 2080-nucleotide unclassified non-coding RNA is filed under the name uncultured fungus. RNAcentral describes it as "sequence contains 18S rRNA gene, ITS1, 5.8S rRNA gene, ITS2, 28S rRNA gene". The stretch from base 958 to 2080 matches the Rfam family "Eukaryotic large subunit ribosomal RNA", at positions 1 to 961 of the family's 3401-position model. The record is from RNAcentral. Lineage: Eukaryota; Fungi.